RNAcentral lists this ribosomal RNA (483 nucleotides) under uncultured bacterium. Its description in RNAcentral is "partial 16S ribosomal RNA". It matches the Rfam family "Bacterial small subunit ribosomal RNA", at positions 28 to 507 of the family's 1533-position model. The record is from RNAcentral.
GACGAACGCUGGCGGCGUGCUUAACACAUGCAAGUCGAACGCUGAAGCUCAGCUUUUGUUGGGUGGAUGAGUGGCGAACGGGUGAGUAACACGUGAGUAACCUGCCUCCUUCUUUGGGAUAACGCCCGGAAACGGGUGCUAAUACUGGAUAUUCACUGGUCUUCGCAUGGGGGUUGGUGGAAAGGGUUUUUCUGGUGGGGGAUGGGCUCGCGGCCUAUCAGCUUGUUGGUGGGGUGAUGGCCUACCAAGGCUUUGACGGGUAGCCGGCCUGAGAGGGUGACCGGUCACAUAGGGACUGUGCUACGGCCCAGACUCCUACGGGAGGCAGCAGUGGGGAAUAUUGCACAAUGGGCGCAAGCCUGAUGCAGCGACGCCGCGUGAGGGAUGGAGGCCUUCGGGUUGUGAACCUCUUUCGCUCAUGGUCAAGCCGCAACAAUGGUUGUGGUGAGGGUAGUGGGUAAAGAAGCGCCGGCUAACUACGUG